CCUACGGGAGGCAGCAGUGGGGAAUUUUGGACAAUGGGCGCAAGCCUGAUCCAGCAAUGCCGCGUGAGUGAAGAAGGCCUUCGGGUUGUAAAGCUCUUUUGUCAGGGAAGAAACGGCAGUUUCUAAUACAGAUUGCUAAUGACGGUACCUGAAGAAUAAGCACCGGCUAACUACGUGCCAGCAGCCGCGGUAAUACGUAGGGUGCAAGCGUUAAUCGGAAUUACUGGGCGUAAAGCGUGCGCAGGCGGUUUUGUAAGUUUGUCGUGAAAUCCCCGGGCUCAACCUGGGAAUGGCGAUGAAGACUGCAAGGCUAGAAUCUGGCAGAGGGGGGUAGAAUUCCACGUGUAGCAGUGAAAUGCGUAGAGAUGUGGAGGAACACCGAUGGCGAAGGCAGCCCCCUGGGUCAAGAUUGACGCUCAUGCACGAAAGCGUGGGGAGCAAACAGGAUUAGAUACCCUGGUAGUCCACGCCCUAAACGAUGUCUACUAGUUGUCGGGUUUUAAUUAACUUGGUAACGCAGCUAACGCGUGAAGUAGACCGCCUGGGGAGUACGGUCGCAAGAUUAAAACGUCAAAGGAAUUGACGG
This 586-nucleotide ribosomal RNA is filed under the name uncultured bacterium. RNAcentral describes it as "bacterial SSU rRNA". It matches the Rfam family "Bacterial small subunit ribosomal RNA", at positions 338 to 916 of the family's 1533-position model. The record is from RNAcentral.